This 528-nucleotide ribosomal RNA is filed under the name uncultured bacterium. RNAcentral's name for it is "bacterial SSU rRNA". It matches the Rfam family "Bacterial small subunit ribosomal RNA", at positions 355 to 901 of the family's 1533-position model. The record is from RNAcentral.
UGGGGAAUCUUGGACAAUGGGGGCAACCCUGAUCCAGCCAUGCCGCGUGAGUGAUGAAGGCCUUAGGGUCGUAAAGCUCUUUCGCCUGUGAAGAUAAUGACGGUAACCGUAGAAGAAGCUCCGGCUAACUCCGUGCCAGCAGCCGCGGUAAUACGGAGGGAGCUAGCGUUGUUCGGAAUUACUGGGCGUAAAGCGUACGUAGGCGGCUUGGUAAGUAGAGGGUGAAAUCCCAGAGCUCAACUCUGGAACUGCCCCCUAAACUGCUGAGCUAGAAUCCUGGAGAGGUGAGUGGAAUUCCUAGUGUAGAGGUGAAAUUCGUAGAUAUUAGGAAAGAACACCAGUGGCGAAGGCGACUCACUGGACAGGUAUUGACGCUGAGGUACGAAAGCGUGGGGAGCGAACAGGAUUAGAUACCCUGGUAGUCCACACCGUAAACGAUGAAUGCCAGUCGUCGGGUAGCAUGCUAUUCGGUGACACACCUAACGGAUUAAGCAUUCCGCCUGGGAGUACGGUCGCAAGAUUAAAAGC